RNAcentral lists this small RNA (943 nucleotides) under Pongo abelii (Sumatran orangutan). RNAcentral's name for it is "processed transcript". The record is from RNAcentral. Lineage: Eukaryota; Metazoa; Chordata; Mammalia; Primates; Hominidae.
CCUUCUACACCCCCGAGGGGCUGCGCCACGGCACUCGCCUGCACACCCACCUGAUUGGCAACAUACACACUCACUUGGUGCACUACCGCGUAGACCUGGAUGUGGCAGGCACCAAGAACAGCUUCCAGACACUGCAGAUGAAGCUAGAAAACAUCACCAACCCCUGGAGCCCGAGACACCGCGUGGUCCAGCCGACCCUGGAGCAGACGCGGUACUCCCGGGAGCGCCAGGCGGCCUUCCGCUUCAAAAGGAAGCUGCCCAGGUACCUGCUCUUUACUAGCCCCCAGGAGAACCCCUGGGGCCACAAGCGCAGUUACCGCCUGCAGAUCCACUCCAUGGCCGACCAGGUGCUGCCCCCAGGCUGGCAGGAGGAGCAGGCCAUCACCUGGGCAAGUGGGGUGAGGAAGAGGAAGAGGAGGGGCUGGUCUUGCUGUCUCACGGUGGCAGAGGCGGAAGAAACUCCAAAUGAAAGUGGACUUGUGGGCUGCGCGCGGUGGCUCAUGCCUGUAAUCCCAGCACUUUGGGAGGCCCAGGUACCCCCUGGCAGUGACCAAGUACCGGGAAUCGGAGCUGUGCAGCAGCAGCAUCUACCACCAGAACGACCCCUGGGACCCGCCCGUGGUCUUUGAGAAGUUUCUUCACAACAAUGAGAACAUUGAAAAUGAGGACCUGGUGGCCUGGGUGACGGUGGGCUUCCUGCACAUCCCGCACUCAGAGGACAUUCCCAACACAGCCACACCUGGGAACUCCGUGGGCUUCCUGCUCCGGCCAUUCAACUUCUUCCCAGAGGACCCCUCCCUGGCAUCCAGAGACACUGUGAUCGUGUGGCCUCGGGACAACGGCCCCAACUACGUCCAGCGCUGGAUCCCUGAGGACAGGGACUGCUCUAUGCCUCCCCCUUUUAGCUACAAUGGGACCUACAGACCUGUGUGACCAACCCCCA